GCUUACACAUGCAAGUCGAACGAUGAAGCCCAGCUUGCUGGGUGGAUUAGUGGCGAACGGGUGAGUAACACGUGAGUAACCUGCCCUUAACUCUGGGAUAAGCCUGGGAAACUGGGUCUAAUACCGGAUAGGAGCGUCCACCGCAUGGUGGGUGUUGGAAAGAUUUAUCGGUUUUGGAUGGACUCGCGGCCUAUCAGCUUGUUGGUGAGGUAAUGGCUCACCAAGGCGACGACGGGUAGCCGGCCUGAGAGGGUGACCGGCCACACUGGGACUGAGACACGGCCCAGACUCCUACGGGAGGCAGCAGUGGGGAAUAUUGCACAAUGGGCGCAAGCCUGAUGCAGCGACGCCGCGUGAGGGAUGACGGCCUUCGGGUUGUAAACCUCUUUCAGUAGGGAAGAAGCGAAAGUGACGGUACCUGCAGAAGAAGCACCGGCUAACUACGUGCCAGCAGCCGCGGUAAUACGUAGGGUGCGAGCGUUAUCCGGAAUUAUUGGGCGUAAAGAGCUCGUAGGCGGUUUGUCGCGUCUGUCGUGAAAGUCCGGGGCUUAACCCCGGAUCUGCGGUGGGUACGGGCAGACUAGAGUGCAGUAGGGGAGACUGGAAUUCCUGGUGUAGCGGUGGAAUGCGCAGAUAUCAGGAGGAACACCGAUGGCGAAGGCAGGUCUCUGGGCUGUAACUGACGCUGAGGAGCGAAAGCAUGGGGAGCGAACAGGAUUAGAUACCCUGGUAGUCCAUGCCGUAAACGUUGGGCACUAGGUGUGGGGACCAUUNNNNGGUUUCCGCGCCGCAGCUAACGCAUUAAGU
Molecule: ribosomal RNA, 807 nt
Filed under: Micrococcus sp. LKS-91a
Lineage: Bacteria; Bacillati; Actinomycetota; Actinomycetes; Micrococcales; Micrococcaceae
Description: bacterial SSU rRNA
Rfam family: Bacterial small subunit ribosomal RNA
Source: RNAcentral